Molecule: long non-coding RNA, 421 nt
Filed under: Rattus norvegicus (Norway rat)
Lineage: Eukaryota; Metazoa; Chordata; Mammalia; Rodentia; Muridae
Description: long non-coding RNA NONRATT007559
Source: RNAcentral
GUGUGGACUGUGACAUCGACGUUCCUAAAACCAUUCAGAUGGUACGGUCCCAGAGGUCAGGGAUGGUCCAGACAGAAGCACAGUACCGGUUCAUCUACAUGGCCGUCCAGCACUACAUAGAGACGCUGCAACGCAGGAUCGAGGAGGAGCAGGUAUGGAGUGGGAGCUCACACGUGGGCUCAGCUCCUGUCCAGGCUCCUGGACUUGUGCUCUUAGCGCCAGAGCAUGGGGUCUCUUCACUGGGGAAAUGUUAACAGUUGGCCUCCCUGGAAGCUGUGUCACCAUCCACUGCCUCCCAGUUCAGGGAGUGUGGAGCCAUCAUCAUGAGCUGGCAAGGCUCUGCCACCCACAAAGGAAGCAACUUUUACAUGCUAGGCUUAGAGCUCAGGGCCUACAGUUUCCAGCCCGACUCAGCUUUGCU